Molecule: ribosomal RNA, 443 nt
Filed under: uncultured bacterium
Lineage: Bacteria
Description: SSU rRNA
Rfam family: Bacterial small subunit ribosomal RNA
Source: RNAcentral
AGAGCGAACGCUGGCGGCAGGCCUAAUACAUGCAAGUCGAACGGAUCCUUCGGGAUUAGUGGCGGACGGGUGAGUAACACGUGGGAACGUGCCCUUUGGUUCAGAACAACUCAGGGAAACUUGAGCUAAUACUGGAUAAGCCCUUCGGGGGAAAGAUUUAUCGCCAUUGGAGCGGCCCGCGUCUGAUUAGCUAGUUGGUAGGGUAAAGGCCUACCAAGGCUACGAUCAGUAGCUGGUCUGAGAGGAUGAUCAGCCACACUGGGACUGAGACACGGCCCAGACUCCUACGGGAGGCAGCAGUAGGGAAUCUUGCGCAAUGGGCGAAAGCCUGACGCAGCCAUGCCGCGUGAAUGAUGAAGGUCUUAGGAUUGUAAAAUUCUUUCAGCGGGGACGAUAAUGACGGUACCCGCAGAAGAGCCCGGCUAACUCGCGCCAGCAGCCGC